CUCAAGGAUUAAGCCAUGCACGUCUAAGAACGUAGGCUUCAGCCAUCAAUCUGUGGAAGGCUCAUUACACGAGUUAGAAACUCUCUUACCGCGCCAUUCUCAUUGGGAUAACACUGCUAAAUGUAGUGAUAAUACCUAAAGUACGCAUGCUGCAUCAGGCAUGCACCUGAUGUCCACUGCAGCGCAGACACCAUGCGGCGUGAAUGCAGGACAUCACCCAGAGAAGCACUGUCUUCUCAUAGGAACCGUUGAUCAUCAGCGGUCGACUAGUAGUCUUACUUCUCUAUCAGCUUGGCGGUUAGGUAAGGACAAAUCGUGGCAACAACGGAUACGGGGAAUCAGUGUUCGAUUCCGGAGAGGGAGCCUGACAAACGGCUACCACAUCCAAGGACGGCAGCAGGCGCGAAAAUUACCCAAUCAUAACACCUCAUGGAGGUAGCGACAACUAAUAGCGACCUUCUGGAUUCUUCUAGAAGGGUACCACCAUCCGGUGGUUUGCAAUGAGUUCAUCGUAAAUAACUGAGCGAGUAACAAUUGGAGGACAAGUUCGGUGCCAGCACCCGCGGUAAUUCCGACUCCAAGAGUGUACACCUACAUUGCUGCAGUUAAAACGCUCGUAGUCUAUACAAAGACCAAUCACCAUAGGGCACGUGGCCAGCAGCGCGCAUUUGUCUGCUGAUUUCUGUGCAGUGGUGGCGGCCCGUGCGAUCUCAUUCACGCGGUGUGUCUGCGCCACUGACAGAACGUCGUGCCACUAUGUGAUUAGGCUUUUUCGAUCGUGAACAAAACAGUGCGAUCAAAGCAGGCACUGUAAUAUCAGCUCGAAUGUACUAGCAUGAAACCGAAUAAAUAAGCUGUUGCCCAUAUGCAUCAGUUGCAUCCAAUAAUAGGAGGCUGAUGUAGGGUACUGGUAUUGCUGGCGCAGAGGUGAAAUUCCGACAUUCUAGCAAGACCGUCAGAAGCGAAAGCUGACACAUCUCUUGCGCCUCCAUUGAUCAGGAACGAAAGUUAGGGGAUCGAAGAUGAUUAGAUACCGUCGUAGUCCUAACCGUAAACUAUACCACCAGGCGGUUGGUGGAACACAACAGAGAUUCUCUCAGAUGCCCAGGGAAACCAAAAGGUUUUGGGUUCUGGGGGGAGUAUAGUCGCAAGGCUGAAACUUAAAGGAAUUGACGGAAAGGCACCACCAGGGGUGGAGUCUGCGGCUUAAUUCGACUCAACACGGGAAAACUCACCAAGUCCAGAUAGUGUAAUGAUGACGGGUAAACC
This 1269-nucleotide ribosomal RNA is filed under the name Euplaesiobystra sp. H3. Its description in RNAcentral is "bacterial SSU rRNA". It matches the Rfam family "Eukaryotic small subunit ribosomal RNA", at positions 36 to 1253 of the family's 1831-position model. The record is from RNAcentral. Lineage: Eukaryota; Heterolobosea; Eutetramitea.